GAGAGAGUUCAUAAAUGAAGUGGGAACUAUGGGAAAAAUUCAUCAUGUUAAUGUUGUCCGGUUGCUUGGCUUUUGUGCCGAUGGAUUUUAUCGUGCUUUGGUUUAUGACUUUUUCCCAAAUGGUUCAUUGCAAAAUUUCAUUUCUUCACCUGACAACAAGGAUGUUUUCCUUGGUUGGGACUUAUUGCAACAAAUUGCUCUUGGCAUUGCCAAUGGGAUUGAGUAUCUUCACCAAGGCUGUGAUCAUAGAAUUCUUCACUUCGAUAUCAAUCCACAUAAUGUAUUAUUAGAUGACAAUUUCGUUCCAAAAAUAUCAGACUUCGGUUUAGCUAAGCUGUGCUCCAAAAAUCAAAGUACAGUAUCAAUGACCGCAGCCAGGGGAACUUUAGGGUACAUGGCACCUGAAGUUUUUUCUCGAAACUUUGGGAAUGUCUCUUAUAAGUCUGAUAUAUACAGCUACGGUAUGUUGCUGCUGGAGAUGGUUGGAGGAAGAAAGAAUACUAAGACAGUCACAGGUGAAGAAAAUUUUCAAGUAUUGUAUCCAGAUUGGAUCCAUGGUUUAUUUGAAGGUGGAGACGUAUAUAUCCCAAUUGAUGAAGAGGGAGAUUUUAGAAUUGCAAAGAAACUAGCGAUUGUCGGACUUUGGUGCAUUCAGUGGCACUCCGUGCAUCGACCGUCCAUGAAAUCUGUGGUUCAGAUGCUUCAAGGAGAGGGAGACAAAUUAAAAGUUCCCACCAAUCCUUUCAAUGCUUCAUCAUCAACUAAUAGAACUGUAAAUACUGUUGCCGGAUGUUUGAAUUCAGAACUAGAUGUUAUUCAGGAAUUAGACUAGAUUAUUGAAACUUGAAUGUUGUAAGAAGACACAAUCCCAAAAAUUAGAGUAAAGAAAUAAUGGCCAACUCAGUAUACAUACUGUUAAACUUGAAGUAGUGCUGAGUUGAAUGUGUUGAAAGUGUAAUGUCUCUCGAUCAAUAUAGUUUAGUUUUUUUUUUAUUAAAUAAAAAUAUUUUGCACCCAAUAGUUCAUUUGAUUGAAUUUUAAGUAUCACCUUUGUUUGAACCAUUAAAAAAAAAAGUAUCACCUUUAAUUUGUUGGUUUCCAUGAAUUAUUUUAGUCUAAAAACUGAAAAAAGAGAAAUUAUUAUUAAUAACGGUGACAUAAUUAAUAUGCCACUUUUGUUUUUGCAAGUUUGGAUAUUUAUGAAGGUAGGUGUUGGUGUGAUGGAUAGAAGGACCACUUACGUGUGCCAAUUACAACCAUUAUUGUAUAAAAAAGGGGUAAGAUUGUGAUGAGUUUGUCUUUGUAUGGGAGAGCAUGAUGUUGAUCCAAUGUCAUUUAUCAUUCUAUUAAAUAUCGGUUCCAUUUUGUUAAUAGAAAAAUAUAGUUUUCUCUUGUCGAAGUUGCCUCUCUAUAUAUAUUAGUACCAGUCUUGAUUCAAUUUAUUAUUUGUUACUGCUUUUCAAGAUACAAACAAAGAAAAAUACUUUUACUUUGGAUUGGUGUAUUUUCCACCAUAAAAUUUUACCAUUUUCCAUUUUAUUGUUUGUUUCUUCUCUUCUGCAAAUGUAAACUAUUCUUGGAUAUUCAGCUAGGUAUGUAUCCAUGUCACUUCUUAGUUGUCUCUGUAUAAAAUCUUGUCUAUUUUCUAAUUUUUAAAAUUUUCUUUCUUUAAUUGCAGAAUUAUCCUUUACAUUGACAAUUAGUUUUAAGGGAAUUACAACAGUCACUACUAGAAAAAGCAAAAUUAGCGAGGGAAAUUAGUGACGGAAAAAAUGAAAUUUCUCACAAAUUCCUUGAUCGUAAAAUUUAGCGACGGAAUUAGAGAGGAAUUUUACGUUUUCCCUCACUAAUUUUUGUUUUUUUAGUAGUGAGUCAAAGAUGAAGUCACUCCUCUGUAAAUAAUAAUAUGUUCUUUAUUCCGAAACAAUUGACCUCAUUGGAGUUGAUCCAAAUGGUGUACCUAUAAUUGGUACUGCAGCAAACUUUUUUUUAGAAACUAAAAUAUUAUACUAAAUAGAAAGCAAAACCUAUUCUGAGUACAAGAUAAUAGCUCUCAUGAAGAGUCAAAGUAAAAUAAUAAACAAAAACUGCCAAAGAAAAGCAUCAAAUGGCUAAAAGGCCAACACAACUAAGCGGAUAGAGCCACCAAAGAUUCAAGUCAUAGUGAAUCUUAUAAAGGAUAAAAAGAUUUAUGUCCACAAUUAGAAAUGAGUAGUCAAGUGACAACAAAUAAGAUAUAUUUCCUAAAUAGGAAAAACAAAUAAGAUAUAUAGUUUAAAAGGAUCAAAAUAUUUCACUAAAAAUGUGAAAUUUAAAUGCUGAAUAAAAAUAAGAGACCAAUCGCUAGUAAUCAUUAUCAUAAGUAGUUUAGUACUAUAGUAAAGGAUGCUCCAUAGUUUCCUCAAGAAAACUAAUUGAGCCGGUGACAUCAUCAUCUGAUAAUGAUUCAUUAGAGCUAACUCCAUUAUCUUGAAUAAUUUCAGUUGGAUAUGGAGAAGGUUUUGGAGGAAUUUUAAUGUCUUUAAUAUCUACUUCAAGCAUUUCUAUUACUUUGUCCAUUGAAGGACGGUCAUUGGGCUUCAAUUGUAUACACCACAAAGCAACUAUGAACAUUUUCUUCACAUUUUUUUUUUCCUCAUCCGUAACUUCUCCCAAUAUUUCUAUCUCCCUUUCUUCAACCAAUUCAUUGUAAAUCCAAUAGGGAAAGAAAAUUUGGCUUGAAUCAUCUGCAUUUGAGUUUAAAUUUCUUCUCCUGUUUGCUAUUUCCAUUAAGAGCAUUCCAAAGCUAUACACAUCGGCUUUAUAGGAAACUUUACCAAUAUUUUUGUAGAACAAUUCUGGUGCCAUGUAACCAAUUGUACCUCUAGCAGCGGUCAUAGUUACAAUGCUAUUUUCAAUAGGAUAAAGUUUUGCAAGACCAAAAUCUGAAACCUUUGCAAUGAAGUCCUGGUCAAGAAGUAUGUUAUGAGGCUUGAUAUCAAAAUGUAAAAUUUGCAUGUCACAACCUUGAUGCAAAUAAGCAAUUCCACGUGCAACGGCAAGAGAUAUCUCAUAUAUUUGUUUAUAAGUUAAGGAAAUAUGAUCUUCUCUAGAUGAUAUAUAUUUAUCAAGAGAGCCAUUGGGCAUGAAAUCAUAAACAAGAGCUCUUUUUGAUCCCUCAACACAAAAUCCAAUAAGUCGCACCACAUUGGUGUGAUGUAUUCUUCCUAUUGUUGCAACUUCAUUGAUGAAAUCUUGCCCAUUUCCCUUACCCUUGUGUUUACCCAACAUCUUUAUGGCUACCGAUGGCCCACUGCGUAGCUUUCCCUUAUAAACCUUACCAUAGCCUCCUUCACCCAACUUGUCCUUAAAACCAUUAGUCAUUUUCUUUAUCUCUGUGUAUGAAUACCUAAUUGGCAUGAGGGAGUUCCCUUGAAGAAAAUCUUCGAUGUUUUCAUACAUUGAUGUAUGCCUUAUUCGAUAUUUAUGUAUCAAUUUUGCAAAGAAAACUACAAGACCCAACAUAAGUCUCACUAAAAUGUACGGGGCCAAAACAUAUUUUCCAAUGGUUGUUCCUAUGUCAAUACCAAGUUUAGAUUGAGAAAUACCCCUUGAUCCAUUGUAUAUCGUCGCACCAAAUGCUUGCAUGAAUCCUGCAAUAUUUCAUAUACAAAUGCAAUAAUACUAUAAACAUUUAACAAUACAAUUAUAUAAGUAAUGUUCAAAUAACAUUGUGAAUUUGAAAAUGUAGGUAUAUCUAUUAGAGUAAAAAAUUACCUCUGGCAAUGCCAUACAUAAUACCUGCGAGAAAUUUUAAGUGAGUCAAUUAACAAAUGAAAUAGAUUGCUUAGAAGAAUAAAAACUUACACACAAAUGUAACUAGAUAGUAACAUUACUUAGUUUAGGUGUUAAAGCUUUUUCUAAUGACAAAUUAAAUUCAUAGAAAGAGAGUAUUGUAUAUGUUGUCUAACUCAACACAACAGGAAAGAAAAGGAACCAACUCCGGAAGCCAAUAAAACCACACAACAAUGCAAUCUUAAAAAAUAUUACAACCAAUAGAAGAGAAAAAAAGGAAACAAGUGAAGCCUAAUAAAAAUAGAAAGAUACAAACAUAGUCUUAUUAGAGAAAAUUGCAAAGUUCUGUGACUUCCAAAUCAAGUAGAAAAUUAAGAUUAAGCAGAACAAUUUCGUUGGUAUAGCCAAAUCCCACCAUAGCCACCUAAAAAUUCUAUAAUAAAAUCUGAGGAAUAAAUUGCAAAUACGAAAUAAAUGUCACGAUGACUCAUUAGUACAACCGCAAAAGACACAUGUAGGUCUACUGACUUGUUGGAAAAUCCUGCAAUGAAGAAGGUAUUUUCUUAGUAACUUUCAAAUUACCUUAGAGAAACUGUGUUUUAAGUUGAGAAAUAAGUUCUCAAACCUUGACAGGUAUCUUCAUCAAAGAAAAGUAAAUGUUUUGAGAUAUUUAUUUUGCAUGAAUUUGAGAAAAACCAUUUUGUGUCCAAAGCUAUUUUGUAUUCCACCAAGACCCAAGUCAAUUGGUGAGAAGUUUGAGUAACAGUUCUUACAUGUUCACCCUGCAAGGAUUUUCCCCAACAAGGAUACCUAAAUACUUGAAAAUAACUUAAUGAACUUUACAUUUAAUAUAUAUGUUUUACCAUCCUUAGAAAUGACCAAUUACAUUCAAGUUUAUCAAACCACUCUUUAAGAAGUUAACCCAAAGGCUCGAGGCAAGUUCAAAAUACGAGACAAUUGUCUUCAUUGUCAAGAUAUUCUCGACAAUCACUUAACCUGUAAAAAGAUGUUCAUCAGUAUACCAAAGAUGAGAAACAAGUAGUCUUGAAUUUCCCACGGAGUUACCUAUAAACCUAUUUAGAGAAUCUUCCAAACAAACCAACUAACCUAACCCACCAACGACCAGUAAAAAGAAGAAAGAAAAAUACGGGCCAGCUUGUUUAAGUUCCCUUUGGAGUAAAUGUUCACUUGGAUCUAAUAUCUCCAUUUGUUUUCAAGCCAAGCCUCCCAAACACAUAGUAAAAAAUUCUCCGGUCAUACACUUAUUUGAAGCCCACCUUAAAAAAUAAAGCAUUCUUUAAUAUAAUUUUUAGCUAGCUCUAUGAAUUCAUUCACUACUAGCACCCCACAAAUUAAUUUCCUACCUUUGGUAAAUGCAUACUAACGAGAGGAGAUUAGAUGAUUGAUAAUUACAGUCAACCUUCCUGUCAAAACCUUAACCACUAAUUUGUACAAACACCAAAUAAGAGCGUUGGUACAAAUAAACAAGUUACUAUUAUUAUAGACUAUCAGACAAUUCACUAUUAUUGAUGAUAAAGUAAGUUGUACAAAUAAACAUUCACAGUAUUGAUGGAGGUCCUUAAAAGAAAGAUAAAGAACAAAACAAGUUAAAAGGAAAAAAUUCUACUUACCUUCGACAAACAUUCGCAGCUUUGACGGAGAUCCUAAAGUUAAAAUAAAGUAAGUUAGCGAACUUAGCACUCAAAGUUGGAGGAUAUAUAUAAAAGACAAAAUUACUCCAAAGGUCCUUUAUCUUAAAUUUGAGGAUUUAGGAUUUUUAUUUUGAAUAUGAGUUCUUAAACUUGUUCGAAACCAAUAACAUACCACAAAGAUAAUAGGUUUUUUUAUUUAUUUUUAUUUGAAAACCCAUGAUGAAGAUGAAGGUCAUAAUAAUUGCAGUUUGUUUGUUUUUGACAUAUGAAGAUGAUGAAUUGCUUGAUGUUUUUUGAGUUUUUUCAUUUUUAAUAAAAAGUUGUUUUAAAUAAUACAAUUACAAUUAUUGAUGAUAAUCCUAUGUGGUUUGUCAUGUCAGCAUUUUUUUAAUAAAAAAUGAAAAAUAGAAUAUUUUAUGUACAUUUUAAAAGAUAAAAGACUUAAAUGAGAAAAUCAAAAGAUAAAGGACCUAACUGUUACAAAUAAAUAAGAUAAAAGACUUUUGGUGUAAUUUUGUCUAUAAAAAAAAAACAACUGUUUGUGCCGCUUUUUAUCUUACAAAUGUAUUGACACUUGUAAAAGUAGGCUAAAAAAUUUUUGGAUCUAGAAAAUGCUAAUAAAAAAGUAAAAAAAAAUGUAAAGUUGUUCUUACCACAAUCAACAUGAAAUCCCAUUGUGGUUAUACAGUAAUCACCAUGAUCGCUGCAUCUAAGACUCCAAGUGGUUUCCCUCAAAUAGCAAGGUGGUUCUCUACAAAGAUCUUCACAAGGACCACUCAUCCAUGCAACCUCAAAUCCACCCAACAACAUCGUAUGAAUUUCAUUAUACGAAAACUUCUGAUAGAAAAUGUCCCGUUUAUACGAACUAUAAUCAUAACCGAGAAAAGAUAUCGCGGUAACAGCCGCCACAUGGCAAUCAUGUUUUAUGUUUUCAACCUUCAAAUCUCCAGCAAUGGUAUAAACAUGGCCACCUUGGGAAUUGGACUUGAUGCAAGAAUCUGCAUCCACGUACGCUGGAUCAUCCAGUAUAGGAUUGCUGCAAUUCAUGUAAACUACGUGCUGGAAUAGUCGUAAUGUUCCAGAAGGUAUUCUGUACUGGAAAUUUUGAUAUGGAUCCUCGUAGUAAGUAUAAUUGUAAGAACUUGUGAAAUUUGAUGAGGUUAGGAAAUUCCGGGGAAUUGAAGAGCAAUCACCUUCUUUUAUUCCAGGAUCAACUAACCGAAUUGUGUAGUUAUUGUAGUUGAUUGAUUUUACAUGGUAUUUACCAGAAAGCAGCUUUAACAUUGUGAUGUUUUUUUCGCAGGAUAACUCGUACCUCGGAUCACCGCAGGUUGCUGGAUCAUUCUUAAGUCGGAAGGGAUACUUUAUGUUGCUGAUUUUGCCACAUGAAGAAGGGGGACAAGUUUUAUUAAUAUUACUAUUUGUUGCAUCACAUGUUUGAUGAUGAUGCAGUAGCAUAGCAACAACCAUAAUUUGGAGGAAACAUAAGAAUGAGUUUGCUCUGCACAUGAUUGAUUGAUGCUGGAAAUUGGCUUUCAAUCAUAUGAAAUGGGACAUCUAUGAUGUAUCUAAGGACAAGAUUGUCUUUAACAGUGUUUAAGUCUUUUAGCCAUCGUUCUUGACUUUCAUUGUUACAAGCAUAUAAAAAUGUUACUUUGUUGACCGGAAAUCUAUACUUGGUUGAUUUUUUCUACUUCCAAUUAUAUAGAAGAAUCUUUUGCCAAAAUGACGGAAAUUAGGAAAGCUGAUAUUUGUAUUAAAGUUGUUUGUAAUCACUAUUGUUUUUACAUUUUUAUUCUUUAAGAGCUUAAAGAAAGUUAGUUGCAAAAGGAUCUUAGAAAAAGGGAUAAAAAAGAUCUUAUAAUUAAGGACAGAGGUAUAAUAUUAUAUUUGUUAUAUUCUUGUUAUAUUUGGUAUAUUGUUCUGAUAAUUAAACGAUAUUAAAAUUAAAUAUGCAAGUGAUAAAAAGAUAAUAAAAUUCCUUUAAAAAUAGAUAAUAAAAUUAAAUUGAUCCUCCUUUAAAAAAAAUUAUAUGGGCCGGUUCAAAAAAAAAAUUAAAUGGAAGAAAAAAACAAAUUGAAAUAUUAUAUUAAAAAAUAAAAGAUAAAUGUGCCUGAGUGAGUUGAAGAAAAGUGCUUCUGAAAUAAAUUACAAAGAAAUAGUUUUUUGAAGUAGCAUUCAACAACUUUUGGUUAAAGCUCAUUCCAUUCAAUUUUAUGCAUUCUAAAAAAAGUAUUUUUUUUCGAAGGUACUUUAUUGAUAUUGUGUUUGACCUAGCUUCUCCUUAAAAAUGUAGAGAAUCUGAGAAAAAGCCGGGCUAAACGGUACCUAAGUAAGUGUCGCUAACACUCCUUCAAAAAUAUUAAGUACUGACAAAAUUGUCGUUGUUUAGUUGUUGGAAAAUUUGAAAAGUCCUGCAUUUUUUUUCAACUUUUUAUAUAUACAUAUACAAUAAAGGGAAAGAGUGGUUCAAUAUAAUAUCUUUAGUCUCCUUAUUUUUUUUCCUUGGAUGACGUUGCAAUGUACAUAUGAUUCUUGGACUUUGAACGUUUUAAUCUAUAUUUUCUUGCAGCAUUAUUUUCAACUUUAAAUGCAUAUGCUUUUCCUUUUAGAGAGCUGGCAAUGCCAUAUAUGAAAUUAUACAAGUUUGAAUAUAAUUAUGAUUCCCUUCAACAUGUCACUCACAAUGAUCUUCACAAGGACCACUCAUCCAAGAAACUUCAAAUCCCCCACACUUGUAUAUGAAAUUAUACAAGUUUGAAUAUAAUUAUGAUUCCUUUCUUGCAACAAUAUUAUAUUAAAACAGAUAAUUAUUGACUCAUCAAACUCCCCCACACUUGAAUCUUUACUUGUCCUCAAGGAAAAGACAUAGACAUAGCAGCAAUAAAAAGAUUAAUAUAUGACAAUUCAAAUAAAAACUUAUGUCUCCUCUAAGGCUUCAUUUCAAUGUACACUAAUCACAACUUCAAGUAUUCCUUGUGAACCUAUUCAACCCAACAACAAGUCUCAAGUGAGCGUGUGUGUAGUCCAACCAUUUUCUUUCUCCUGUAUAAGACAGAUAUUAUGAGGAACAUGUUCUAACCUUAACACUAAAGUUACCGAGAAAAUUCCUUUCUUCAUUUCAUAUAAGAGAGAUGAGAAUUAGUUAAAUUUAGUUUGACAAUUUAAAUACUUGGGGGCUUGCAGAUUGCUUAGGGGAUAUCAUUUCUCAAAGGAAGUCAGCGAGGGGGUAUCCUUUCCUCCAAGAUUCCAUGAUCACCCUAAGUAGUGCUACAAAUUAAUCAUCUUCACGAAGGAAGUCAGCGAGGGGGCCGAUAUCCUUUCCUCCAUGUGUUGAUGAUGUAUCAAUUAUUUCUUUUUAGAGGGAUUUAUGGAAAUUUCGUUCAAUUUAUUAGAGAAGCAUCACCACACGGAGGAAGUCAGCGAUGGGGUAUUCUUUCCUCUAUGUGUUGGUGAUAUUGCUUCCGCCCCAUUUUGGUUUAACACAUUAUAGCACAUUAAAACCCAAUAUUCCCCCACAAACUUAUACUACUUUUAUUCUGAAGACUUUUAAGGGUCUAAGUUACCAUUAAAGUUAGAACGUGUUCCUUAAAAUACCUAUUCAUACACUUGCUCAAGGAUUGCAACUAAGUGCUUUUCUCAUUGGAGAAUUUUCACAAUAAAACAUGAUGUGGGUAUAACAAGAACACUUAAAACACAAGAAAUCACUUUCAUGUACAAGAAACGACCAUUUUAGAAGAGACAACAAAAAAUUUAUGUCAUAAUUUUCAAUAAAAACAAGCUGCUUAAUCAUGUCUUUCGCAAUAAAACAAAACAAAAGAAUAAAGUUCGAGGGAGUUUGGAAACUACGACUAAAGACACUUUAUUAGGCUCCCCCCACACUUAGGAGAAGCAUUGUUCUCAAUGAUUCAAAACAAUAAAAGAGAAGAAGAGGAAGAAGAAGAAGAAAGAGGAGGAGAAAGAGGAGAUAAGGGGAAGAGAGGAAGAGGAAAGCUCACAUUUGAUUCAUUGAGGUCCAUAAGGAGGAUCUUGGAGGUGGAAGUGUUGCAUCAUGUUAUGAAGCAUUUGAUUAUUUUCUAUUGAUAUGCGGUUGCCUCUUAGGACAUCAUUUCGUAGUCCGGAUAACUCAACACCUUGCCUUUGUUGUUCGGUGCUUAUUCUCUCAACCUCUUCAUGUACUUGCGAACCAUCACCAACAUACAACAAAUUUUCUUCAACCUCGGUGUUAGUCCGAGAUGGGUUAGGAAGUAUAAUUAAAACAGGCACAUUGAGUUUAAAUGUAUAUGCCAUGUGGGGACGAGGUUUAAUGAAGUUCAUAGAGAUGAGGGUCUCUAUGUUAAGCUUAUUGUUUCCCUCAAUCUUGUUUUAUCCCUUGGUCUUCAUCCACUCCCAAUUGCCUAUAGCUAUGUAUGUGAUGAUACCACCUAUCACUAUCUCUCCCUUACCAUCAGAACUAUUACCUACAUGGGAAAGGUAAUCAAGCAAGUAAAAGCAAGUGUUAACGGGGUGGUUGUUAAGCAUAGCCCACAACAUAAAGAGUUCAUCUGUCCUAGUGUUCCCCAAUUCAGUCCUUCCCCAAAUGUUGCAAGCCAUAAACCUUUGAAGGUACCUAAGCACAAAGUUGUGAAUGUUACUAGCUUUGUUGGAACAUGUGUUAAAUUGCCUAAGACUGGUGAUACGUUCCCAAAAGGCGGCGGGUUGAUAGUCAACCAGAUUUAGACUUUGAUCCCAAUAGUCAUGGAUGAACCCCGCAUUUGCUAAGUUCAUCUCAUCACAAAAGUGUUGAAGAGACAUCUCGUAAUCAAUGUUCAUAAGCCGGAAAGAUACUCUAUGAUUGGGGUUAUCAAAAUUCAUCCUAUCCUUUGUAAAAACAAUAGAACUUAAAAACUCAUAGGUUAAAUUUUCAUACCCUCUCAUAGGUCUUAACAUAGCAACCCACCCUAAUCUUCCUAGCAAGUCAAACACUUUGUCUCUAAGGCCUAUCACAUUCAAGCUAUAAGAAUCAAGGUAUCUACAAGCAUGUAAAGAUUUAGAGAUGAGAACUUUAUACCUAUCCCUUUACUUGCUGUCUUUGAAUUAUAUUACAUGAUUCUUUGCUGGCACUUGCUUCUUUGGAGAGGUCCUCACGACGAGCUUGCAACUUCUUUACCACCUCUUUUGGAAGCCAUAACCUUCACCCUGAUUGGAUUUGGUGUGGUUUUGGUGAAGGUUGGGUUUUUGGAAUGUUUUUGGCGGAAAAGGUUGGUUUAGUUGUGGGGUUAAGGUUUAAGUAAGUGUUAUGAGUUGGGUUGUGGAAAUUAGUGAUGAAUUUGUGGGUUUUGGGUUAGGUUAAGGAAGGCUACAAAUUUGGAUGAUUUUCGGUUUGGGUGGAUGAAAGUUGUUUUUGAUUGGGGGGGUUAUGAUUGGGAUGAUGUUUGUAAUUGAUUGGGUGAAGAAAUUUUAUGAAUUUGUGAAGUUUUGAAGGAGAUAUGAAGGUUUGGAGUUUUGUGGUUAUGGAGGUUUUAGAAAGAAGUUUGAAGGUAGAGAGAUGUUGGUGUUGGAGAAUGAGGGAAGAAGAAGAAAAAAAAUGUGUAUAUGCCUACCUAGGGUUGGGCACGGCUGUGCCAGCUGUUGGCACGGGCCGUGCCAAGCUUCUGGAAUUUUGGAGGUUUUGGUUUGGCAAGGUCUGGCAUGGCCGUGCCAGUGGGAGCACGGGCCGUGCCAAGGUUCUGGAGUUCGGGGCUUCAAAAUUUUUCAUUUUCUUGAAUCAUGCUUGGACAAUUACCUACAAAAUAACUUAAAACAACAAAAAACAAACAAAACAAAAGCAGUUAAAUACGUGGUUUGCCUCCCACGAAGCGCUCCUUUAUAGUCAUUAGCUUGAUGUUAAGAAAGUGUCCUUAGAAAGGAUCAAAGAUAUCAUAUUGUGUAGAUGACGCUAAAAAGUGUUCUUUCACAUCAUGAUCUUUAAUCAUGCAACAAGAAUAAAGAGCGGGACCUUUCAUAACAUUCUCCAACUCAAAUCCUACCAUUUUAUCACUCACUUGAAAACACAAUCCUACCAUUCUUAACAUCAACUAUAGCACCCGUAGUAGCGAGAAAAUGUCGUCCUAAAAUUAUAGGGCACUCAUUGUCUUCUUCUAUGUCAAGUACCAUAAAAUCAGUCGGGAUGUAUAUCCCUUCUAUCAUAACGGGAAUGUCCUGGACAUAUCCGACAGGUUGGAUAGUAGAACGGUCAGCUAACUUCAAUGUUGUUUCGGUAGGUUUCAACUCUCUUAUUCCCAUCCUUUUAAAGAGGGAUAAGGGCAACAAACUAACACUAGCACCUAAGUCGCACAAGGCUUUGUCUAAGGUCUCACUCCCUAUCAUACAAGGGAUGACAAAACUACCUGGAUCUCUAAGCUUUGAAGGUGGCUUCUUGAUGAUUGCACUACUUUCCCUUGUCAAAGGUAUUGUCUCUUUGUGCUCUAUAGCCUUUUUCUUUGAAAAAAUUUCUCUUAAAAACUUGGCAUAUAGAGGCAUACGAGACAAAGCUUCAGCAAAGAGAAUCUUUAUGCAAAUCUUCUUAAGUAUGUUCACAAAUUUAUUGAAUUGAGCCUCCAAGUUAAUCUUAACAAGCCUUAAUGGGGAAGGGGCUUUGUUCUUACCAAGUGGUUUCUCACUUUCUAUCACAUCUUUCUCACCUGAAAACUUAACACUCUCUCCCUUGGUACUUUUAACUUUAGCAAUGGUCUCUUCUAAUUUACUACCCCCAAAAGAAAUAACAUUGACAUGAGCCUUUGGAUUGGCUUCGGUUUGACCAGGAAAGACUUCCGAUGUUUGAGAAGAGGUGGCCACUUGUUGGGCCACUUGGGAGAUUUGGGUCUCAAGCAUUUUAGUGUGUGCGGCGUUCAGAAAUCCCGUUUGGUUUUUUAGUUCUUGAAUUGUUUAUUUUGAUUCAUCAUGCAAUUUUCCAACAAAAUUUCCAAACUUGAUUUCUGAGCUACCCUCUAGUUGUUUGUAUAGCCAGGUGGUGCUACUUGUCCAUAGGAACCUUGAGGAUUUUUAUAAAAGUUUUGGCUAGGCUUUGUUCCUUGGUUGUAUUAAGCAUAAUUCAUUUGCUCAAUACUAUUAGCAGCACUACGUAACUGACAAUCAACACCUAUAUAACCAAAUAUACCACAAAUUUCACAAGGAGGAAAUGUAGGAGUAGGUGUGACAACACUAACAUUAAGUUUUUCAAAUUUUUGGGUUAAUGCAUCAACCUUGGCAGCAAGGUGGUCAUAGUCAGAGACUUCGUACAUACCUGCCUCCUUUUUAGAGGGUGUAGAGGCGGUGAUGGCUCUUUCGUUGGUCCAUUGGUAGUGAUUCUGAGCCAUGUCUUCAAUCAAAGCGUAAGCCUCCGUAUAGUUCUUGUUCAUCAAGACUCCACCUACAGCUGAAUCAACAUACAUCUUAGUGGUAUAUGUUAGGCCAUUAUAAAAAGUGUGGACUAUGAGCCACUUCUCUAAACCAUGGUGGGGACAAAGUCUAAGCAUUUCCUUGAAACACUCCCACACAUCAUAUAGAGACUCUCCAUCUUUCUAAUUGAACCGCGUGAUUUGCUCUCUUAGUUAUCGGUUUUAGAUGGGGGAAAGAAUCGGGCAAGGAAUGCUCGCCUCAUUUGAUCCCAUGAAGUGAUGGAACCAAGCGCUAGCUCUAUCCCUUAAGAAAAAGGGAAAGAGAUUAAGUCUUACGGCUUCUUGGUUCUCUUUUAUAGUGCCACUGAAUCUUAAGAAGGAAGAAAUAUGGAGAUUUGGAUCCUCAGUAGGUGAUCCAGAAAACUGAUUUUGCUGCACCAAAUUGAGUAGUGCAGGCUUGAUCUCAAAGUUGUUACCCUCAACCGUCGGGUACACAAUAAUAGCUUGUGCCUCUGUUCUUUUCUUAUGCAAAUAUCUUUCGAUCUCAAGAAUAAAUUCUCCAAGACUUUUACUUCUUCGCAUAAGAAAUUGAGAACCCAAGAAGUUAACGGUAAAACAAAAGAAAGAAAGUAGAGGAAAAGGGAAAAGAAAAGAUUCUAAUCACAAAGAAAAGGUUAAUUAAAUUAGUUAACUCCCCGGCAGCGGCGCCAAAAACUUGAUGGUAUAAAACCGCAAGUGUACGGUUCUAUCAAAGUAGUAAAAUAAGAGUAUCGUUCCGAUAGGAAGUUGUUAAAUUCAAUUAACUUUUGUUGAUGAUUAGAAGAGAAUAAAGUUGCAAAGUUGGGGUUUUCAAAAGGGUUCAAAGAUAAUAAUAUAAAAAGAGCCUUGUGAUUAUUGGUUCACCUUAAUGACAAGUCCUUCUCAAACCAAACUAUUAAACCUAAAACCUUAUGUUAGACCUAACUUCUAAAGACAGUUUCUCUUUUGGUCCUUUAGCAACCAAAUUUCGCUGACUUGAUUACUAUUAAAUUUUGGUUCCUUUAAUAACCAAGCCUAUUUUGCUGACUUGAUUACUAUUAGUUCCCUUGAAGAUCGAAACUAUAUGUCUCAAAGAUCGCAAAGACUAUUUCGCUGCCUUUGCAACCCUUGUCUAAAUUCACUUGUUCGAAUAUCAAAUCUCCACUUUCAUUUUAUGAAUUGAUAUUUGAGAUGAUGGAUUAACAAUUAUCAAACCUUCCAUUUUCUUUUCCACAGUUUGAUAAUGGUUAAUUCAUGUUAAAACAGUGAAUUUAGAUUAGAGAUUAGAGUUACAUAAGACUAGGGUCAAUAGCUUGGUUUGAUUAUGAUUAUGUCAUUAAGACUUAUCCAACAAUCCCAAGACAAGAGAAGUUUACUCACUCAUGUUCAUCGUAGACAUGGAGAAGAAGGAGAAAAGCAUAAAAGUAAAUAACAAGAAAGUAAAGGAAAAGAAAAUAACUUUUAUUAGAAAGAUAAUUGUCACUUAUUGAAUUCCAAGAAAAGAUGAAUAUUUGUGAUGGCUAGCUACUCUAUUUAUAGAAUCUAAGCAAUUACAUUACUACAAGCAACAGGCUUUUUGGUAAAACUAAAAUAGAGUAGCUUAAAAUCUAAGCAAAAGCAGCAAAAGGUGUUCUGGGAGGUGGCACGACCGUGCCAAUCUUAGCACGUGCCGUGCCAAGCUUCUGACUUGGGGGAGACAUAAUUUUGUCUCCGAAUCUUCGUAUUGUUGCUCCGAAUCAGCUCUAAACCCCUUUCUUUUGCUCCAAGACUCAAUCCAUCAAAUAUUCGUUCCUAAAAUAUAAUAAUAUGCAAUUGAAGUAAAAUAGUUCAAAAAUGAAAUAAUAUUAAAAUAAAAUAAACUUAAAUCUAAUUAAAACAAAACUAAAUAUUAUACUAAAAUGAAUAAUUAUUGACUUAUCGGUACUUGUGGAUUACCCUAAAAGCCAAGGGUGAUUGGGCACAAGUAGAUCUUCAAGGAAGCGGGAGAUGUUCUGUAUUGAAGAGGUUAUGGUAUAGUCUUGUAGAACUACGUGAAAUUCCUAUUGUAGUUUGGAUACAAGGAUUUUUGAGAAGGUGGAAGACAUUUCGAUGACUGAAGAGGUUAAGGUGUGUACUUGUGGAGCUACCUAAAUUUCCUAGUGUAGUUGGAAGCAAGAAUCUUCAAAAGGCGGAAGGCAUUCCAAUGGUUGAAGACGUAAGGUGUAAACUUGUGGAGCUACUUGGUGUAGUGGGAAGCAAGGGAAAGAGCAGCAAGGUGGUUGAUGUUAAAUUGACUUCAUCACUAAUUAAGAGUCAAGGUGGAAAUUGUUGUGAAAGUGACUCAAAAUUGGAGUUUGGAGUGCCAAAUUGAUGUUUUGCGUAACAAUAUUACUCGAAUAUAGUCCAGUCUCUGACUUUAUAGAAAGACUUGUUGCAAAAGGAUUCCAUCAAACACACUUUGACUUUAUAGAAACUGUUUACUCCUGUGGUCAAACUGAUCACAAUUCACACCAUUCUCUUUCUUUAGCCCUAACUCAUAGUUAACAAGGCAUCUAAACAGACCUUAGUUGGAUCUAUGUGGAAGGAUUAAUAUUCGCAUACCACGAAGCUUUGUUCUCGACAUACAUCAAAUAUUGACGGGAUGUAGAUUCAAACACUCGAUAAGUAAACAAUUUUAGUCUAUAAAAACAUUCUUUGUUGAAUGACCAUUUUUUAGACUAAAAUUGUUUACUUAGUCCAUUUAAAACGACUUGAUAACUAUGAUUUGUAGCGUUGUAAAAAAACUAUGAUUGGUAGUAUAAAUAAAUUUCUUGAUUGCAUAAAAUUUUAUUUUAUUACUAUAUGGAGAAUUGCCUAUAAACACUAAGAGCGAAGAAAUUGAUCUCAGUGAUUGAUUUAGAAAAUGAUUUAAAAUAGUACUUAAACAUUAGUUGAAAACAUCAAACGACUAAUUUUCAUCUCCAAUGUCUGAUUUUGGCGUCAAUUUGAAAAUAAUAAUACGUUCUUUAAAUCAAGCUAUGUAGAAAAAUAUUUUGUAAUAAUUUACCUCAUUGUAGUUGAUCCAAAUGGUGUACCUAUAAUUGGUACUGCAGAAAACUUUUUUUUAGAAGCUAAACUAUUAUACUUCUUCAUUGUGCUUUAGUACCUUAAAAGCAAUCUUCCGGACUUUUGUUAUAUGUGUCCCGAGAUUGCUAUGUGUCCAAAGAGAUAUCAUCACGAAAUUAUCACGAAUUAGUUACCGAACACUCUCUUACAUAAUUCUGUCACUAAAGGAAACAUUGUUAGCUUCAUGGGUUGCAUUGCUAGCAUAAAGGAAACAUUCUUACAGACGGAUACUUUGGUGUAGUCGCAAUUACAUAAAACAAACAUUCCUAUUUGGACCUAGUACAAAUGGUGUACAUAUGAUUGCUACUGCAACUACCUUUCUGCUUAUUGUUUAGUAUCACUUGGAAAAAAAUGGUUUGUGUUCACUAUUGGAAGUGACAACAAAUUAAGAAAUAACACAUAUAUGCAAUUUUUUAUGUUUAAUGUAAAAUUUAGAUGAUUAAUGAAAAUAAAAAACCAAAUCACAAGUAUUUAUUAUCAUUGUAGUUUAGUACUAUAGUAAAGGAUCUUCAACGGUUUCCUCAAGAAAACUAAUUGAACCGGUGACAUCAUCAUCCGAAAAAGAUUCAUUUGAGCUAACUCCAUUGUCUUGAAUAAUUUCAGUUGGAUAUGGAGAAGGUUUUGGAGGAAUUUCAAUAUCUUCAAUAUCUCCUUCAAGCAUUUCUAUUACUCUGUCCAUUGAAGGACGAUCAAUAGGGUUCAAUUGUAUACACCACAGAGCAAUUAUGAACAUCUUCUUCACAUUUUUCUUUUCCUCAUCGGUAGCUUCUCCAGAUAUAUCUAUCUCUCUUUCUUCAAUCAAUUCAUUGUAAAUCCAAUAGGGAAAGAAAAUUUGGCUUGAAUCAUCUGCAUUUGAGUUCAAAUUUCUUCUCCUGUUUGCUAUUUCCAUUAAGAGCAUUCCAAAGCUAUACACAUCGGCCUUAUAGGAAACUUUACCAAUAUUUUUGUAGAAUAAUUCCGGAGCCAUGUAACCAAUUGUUCCUCUUGCAGCCGUCAAAGUUACAAUGCUAUUGUCAACAGGAUAAAGUUUUGCAAGACCAAAGUCUGAAACCUUGGCGAUGAAGUCUUUGUCAAGAAGAAUGUUAUGAGGCUUGAUAUCAAAAUGUAAAAUUUGCAUGUCACAACCUUGAUGCAAAUAAGCAAUUCCACGUGCAACUCCAAGAGAUAUCUCAUACAUUUGCUUAUAAGUUAAGGAAAUAUGAUCUUCCCUAGAGGAAAUAUAUCUAUCAAGAGAGCCAUUGGGCAUGAAAUCAUAAACAAGAGCACGUUUUGAUCCCUCAAUGCAAAAUCCAACAAGUCGCACCACAUUGGUGUGAUGUAUUUUUCCUAUGGUUGCAACUUCAUUAAUGAAAUCUUGUCCAUGUCUAUCUCCCUUAAGUUUACCCAACACUUUUAUGGCUACCAAAGGCCCACUACGAAGCUUCCCCUUAUAAACCUUACCAUAUCCUCCUUCACCCAACUUUUCCUUAAAGCCUCUCGUCAUCUGCUUUAUCUCUUUGUAUGAAUACCUAAUUGGCAUGAGUGAAUUCCCUUGAAGAAAAUCUUCGAUGAUUUCAUACAUUGAUGUAUGCCUUGAUCGAUACGUAUGCAUGAGUUUUCCAAAGAGAGCUAUGAGACCCAACAUAAAUCUAACCAUAAUGUAUGAUGGCAAAAUAUACCUUCCAAUUGUUAUUCCUAUGUCAAUACCAAAUUUAGAUUCAGACACAUACUGAGCUCUAUCGUGUAUUCUCACACCUAUUGGAUGUGGUAGUCCUGAAAUAUAUUAUGUAUAAUAUAUGAAUGCAAUAAUAUUAACAUUAUUAAACAAUAUAAUGAUAUAAUAUUCAAAUAACAAUGUGGAAAUGACUUAACCAAAAAAAAACAUUGUGAAUGUUAAAAAUUACCUCUGGCAAUUCCGUACAAAAUACCUGCGAGAAAUUUUAAUGAAGUCAAUUAACAAAUGAAAGAGAUGUCAGAAAUUGACACAGAAAGAGUAAGUAUAAUGAGACAAAACUACCAUAUAAUGAGACAAAACUGCCAAAUCAUAAAAAACCUAUAAUCACAAACAUAAGAAUGGUUUCACUACCCACUCUUAUAAGUAACAUGAAUAUGUCGACGACCUAAAAAAACCCUUUUCAAGAGUUGAAUCUUACCUGGUUUACCAAUUGCACAAUAAACGUUGUCUUAUCAGACAAAAUAACAUUGUUUCACGACUUUCAAAUGAUCACACCAUUGAAAGGGGUUUUCUCCCACAUAAUAUUUUCUUCCUCAUCAAUUACUCCCUCACCGCUUCCUCCAUCUCCGUCAUAGCCGCACCCACACCACCAAACCUAUCAAAACGUGCAACGCUGGCCCAUAUCCGUUGUUGACCAAAGUACACUUUGUUCAGUGCUUUAUUCAAUUUGUCAUAAUUUUGCACAUUAGUGAAGCACACAAAACCAAACACUUGUUCACUAGCAUUUCUAUCUCGGGACACAUAUACGUCUGCCAAAAUACCACAAACCUCCAAACUCUUCCUCAGCUCAACAUAUUAUAAAUGCUUUGGUACAUUAGUGAAAUAGAAUGUUACCAUCAAAGCUUCCUAUUGACGUGAACUUGAUCGAGUCUUCGACACUCCUUGUUAUCGAGAGGCAUGCCCAAGAUUAAGGCACCUAUCGAUUGAUCGACAACAUACCUCAAUUGACAUCACACACCUAUAUCCGUAAAACCUUCGAACAUGUGUUUAACCAUGUUCAAGUAACCCAACAAACCUAUUCCCAUAGCCACAAAACCCUAGAUUGUGAAACCUUCCAAACCCCAAACUUCCAUGCAGUGAAAAUCCCCUUGACCUUUCACGUCCUUGAUCUCCCGAUCGAAUCAUUUUCCAACGUCUCAUACUCAUCACAAACCAUUCUCUCCUAUUCCCAUAUUAUGUGUGGCUCUGACUAGAACCAUAGCCCUCCCUAGGUCUCUCUCUCUCAUUUGCGAUGUCACAUUUAUGGCGAUUAUUAUUAUUAACUAUCAAGAAUGAUACCUUAUUAAAUUUAAGUCAUAUGUUACUAGAAAUCUAGAAAAUCAAUUAAUUGUAUUAACUAGUUUUUUCUAUUGACAACAACAAAAUUAACCCAUUUAAUUCAAUUAAAUAGUCACAAUACAUGAAGGAAUAUAAUAAAAAAAAUUGGCGGUGACCUUAAGACAAUGCCACUCUAGGAAAGAGUGAUCCACAUUGUUCUGCUUGCGUAUGAACAAAACUUAUGCGAUAGUUUGGUAAAGAAGACAUCAUAGUUUUAUUUGGUUAUAACAAUGAUAUGAGGGUAAAGUGAUUCGACUCAAGCGAUUGUUGAAUUUCACCUAAAAGUGAUUCGUUUAAGAGAACCCCGAAUUUAAAUUAUGGUUGAAACAAUUAUAUAUAUAAGACUUUACUUACAUUCCGACCAAACUCAAAAUUCCCAAACUCUCUAAUCCGGGUCACUAGAGGGUAAACAUAAAAAAAAUAGUGACACAAGGGAGUAGUGUACACUACAAGAAAAGUGUGUAUACUUAAAAGAAGUUAGAGGACAAAUUUCUCCUUACCUUCAACAAACAUUCGCAGCUUGGAUGGAGUUCCUAAAAUUAAAAUAAAGAAGAAGUUAGCGACUUAACUCUUAAAGAUGUACACUAACUUGUACAUGAUACAAGACUUGUCUCAAUUUUGCACUAUAAAAUUAACAUACAUAUGUAUCCAACAAUCAGUUAUAGUUUCAUUUUAUCUCUUCUACUUUAUUUUUUCUUUUCAUCAUCAAUUAAUUAUCACAUCACUCUAUUUAACUUUUUCUUUUCAAAAUAUAUAUACUCAUAUGAUUUGUCCAUCAAACAUUUAUAUAUAUACACAACGAAAUGAACAGGUGCUUUUGCUGUUUUUUAUUUCUAAAAAAUGUAAAAUUUAAUUUUACAUUUUAAAUACUUGUUUUUUUUUUUUUUUGUGGAAAUACAAAAUUAUUAUCAUAAAUGUGAGAGAGUAAUGAUAUUUGUACAACCAGUUGAUGACAAAAUUUGUGUCAACAUUCUCUUUCUUUCUUAUUAUUGAUAAAAAACAAUAGAUAGAGAAAUACAAAUAGAGAAAGUAAAAAUAUAAUGUGAGUAUGAUAAAGUUGUUACAAAAUGGUUAUACAAAUAUCAUUUCUUACCAGUGACACAACCGACAUGAAAACCCAGCGUUGUUCUACAUAGCAUAGACGGAUUGUCGCAUUCAAGACUCCAAGUGGUUUCUCUCAAAUAGCAAUCUGGGAUUCCACAAUGAUCUUCACAAGGACCACUCAUCCAAGAAACUUCAAAUCCACCCACCAACAUGCUAUGAAUUUCACUGUAAUCAAACAUUUGAUUCGGAAUCCGUUCAUUUCUAUAAUCCGCGUCACUGUACGAAAACUUUCCAUCGGGAGUAUUCCACUCCUCAGAGCUGUAAUUAUAACGGAAAAAAGAUAUUGGCGUAACAACCCCCACGUGACAGUCAUCAUUUUUAUAGUUUCUAACCUUCAAAUCCCCGGCAAUGGCAUAAACAUGGCCACGUUGAGAAUUCGACUUGUUCACGCAAGAAGCUGCAUCUGCAUACACCGGAUCAUCCCUCACAGGACUGCUACAAUUCAUGUAAAUUACGUGCUGGAACAUUUGUAAUGAUGCCAAAGUAAGAGCUGGUGAAUAUUUAUAUCUAGUAGUAUCAACUAUUCUACUCUGGUAAGUUUGAUAUGGAUCAACAGAAUCGUAGAUAUAAGAGCUGCUGAAAUUAUAAUUGUACAAGUAAUAGUGAGGAAUGGUGGAGCAAUCACCCUCUUCAAUUCCGGGAUCAACUAACCGAAUUGUGUAGUUAUUGUAGUUGAUUGAUUUCACAUAGUAUUUACCCGACAACAAAGUUAAGGUUGUGAUGUUGUUUUCGCAGGAUAACUCGUACCUCGGAUCACCACAUGAUGUUGGGUCAUCCUUAAGUCGAAAAGGAUGUGAUAUGUUUCCAAUUUUGCCACAUGAAGAAGGUGGACAAUAUGUUUGGUUACUAGUAUUUGUAAUUGCAUCACAUGUUUGAUGAUGAUGAUGCAGUAGUAGCACUACUACCAUAAUUUGGAUUAAGAAUAAGAAUGAUUUUUCUCUGCACAUGAUUGAUGGUGAAGAGUGAAGGCUGGUUUUCACUUUAGAGCUACGGUAUUAUAAUCUGAAAGGGUACAUGUGUACAUGUGUAUCUAAGUCAAAAAUUGUCUUUCUCAAAUGUUAAAAGUCUUUUAGCCAUCGUUGUUGACUAUUAUGCUUUGGUCAAUCCAAAAAACUUUUCAACUUUUUAUAUCUAUAGUCAAUACUACUCCUUCCAUCCUCAAAUAAAUGACUUGAUUGUUGCACGUAUGUUACUACACAUAUUUGAUCUUUAAUAAAUUUUUAUUAGGUCAAUUUUGAACCAAAAUCAUCCCUCUUAAGGUCAAUUUUAACUCAAAAUCACCCAUUCGAUUUGUUUUCCUUCAUUUUUAGUUUAAUAAGUGAUUUUCACAUUCGUCAUCUUUGCACGAAUUUGCUUAUUUUAAUUUCUCGUCCUUGGGUGGUGUAUUUUUUAUUUUCCGCCUUAAUACGAUAUUUAUUUGGUUCAAAUUGAAAUAUUAGUUUGAGCAUUGACAUAUUCAAUCAAUGACUUUGACGUCGUCAACGUCGGAUAUCCGGACACUUGAAUAUAGUCAUAUUUAUAGACAUACGUACUCUGCCAUUUUAUGCUAUUGACAUGAAUAAUGUUAGUUUGUUCGCAAACUCAUCCUUUUUUUAUUUUCGGGAUUUUAAAUUUGCAUUGUAUUGUUUUACUCUAGCAAUUUGAAUGAAAAUCUGUGGAAAAAAUGUUAGCGAAAUAAAUAUAGUAGAAAGAUAGUUGAGUGUUCGUCUUUUUUUUUUUUUCCUGCUAGUAUAGAACAAAAAUGGUUCUAUUUUGAAUUUUCUUCGGUCUCCUUGUUUUUUUUCCUUUAGAUGACGUUGUGAUGUACAUUAUUUUCUUCAACCAAGAGCAUUAUUUUCAACUUUAAAUGCAUAUACUUUUCUUUUCAGUGAGCUGGCUAUGCCAUAUAUUAAAUUAUACAAGUUUGAAUAAUAAUUGUGAUUCCCUUCAACAUGUCACUCACAAUAUUAGCAUUGCUACUGCUGAUAUCAAUGAACCUUGUCAAUGGUCAGAACAAUGAUAACUCGUCCGAUGAAUGCCCCUUUCGUUUAUCUUGUUCGCAUAACAAGAAUCAAAUCAUUGAGUUUCCAGCAGAUCCAGUUCCAGUAAAGCUCCUCGUUACAGACAUAGAUUGUCAAUCUCAACAAUUAUACCUAUCUCACCCACAAAAUUGUCUUUCUAGUAUCUUUGUAACACACAAUUUUUCACUAUUUUAUCCUUUUAGCCUUGCUUCAUUAUUUAAUCGUCCUAGCAGCGUCAACAACGUUACUUUCUUUAAUUGCUCUUCAGUUGGACAACAUCUCAGAAGCUGGGAACAAACAAAACCCGGUGCCCAAGACAUGUUAUCUUGUCCAAUUUAUGUUGCUGAUUUAUCUGAAAGUGUCAUCGAAUUGGACUUAUUACGUUGCACCAGAAUGUUUGAUAAAGUUUUGCCAAUAGAUUUAAGUUUUAGAAAUAACUAUCUCAAAUUGAAUUGGUCAGAACAAACUUUUCAUAGUCAAUGUUUACAACCACAGAUUAAAUCAAAGCACACAUCCAUUAUUGCUGCAACAACAGGUGAAUAGAAUAGAUUAUAUGUAACUUCAAUUCUAUUUCUUUCCAUUAUUAUUUCGAAUUUUUCUUUAAUUGAAUUUUGAAUCUGCAGGGGCAAUUGUUGGUUCAACUAUUCUGGUUGUUUUGUUUGGUGUUUUCUUUCGAGUAUACCUCUAUUAUAGGAUGAAAGGAGAAGAUCAAACUAGACUUGAAAACUUUUUGAAGGAUUAUGAAGCGUCAAAGCCAACUAGAUUUUCUUAUGCCGAUAUCAAGAGAAUUACUGAUCAAUUCAAGGAAAAGCUGGGCGAAGGAGCUCAUGGAGCUGUCUACAAAGGUAAAUUAUCGAGUCAAAUUCUUGUUGCUGUGAAGAUGCUUAAUAAUACAGAAGGAGAUGGGAGAGAGUUCAUAAAUGAAGUAGGAACUAUGGGAAAAAUCCAUCAUGUUAAUGUUGUCCGGUUACUUGGCUUUUGCGCUGAUGGAUUUUAUCGUGCUUUGGUUUAUGACUUUUUCCCUAAUGGUUCGUUGCAAAAUUUCAUUUCUUCACCUGACAACAAGGAUGUUUUCCUUGGUUGGGACUUAUUGCAACAGAUUGCUCUAGGCAUUGCCAAUGGAAUUGAGUAUCUUCACCAGGGCUGUGAUCAAAGAAUUCUUCAUUUUGAUAUCAAUCCGCACAAUAUCUUGUUAGAUGACAAUUUUACUCCAAAAAUAUCAGACUUUGGUUUAGCCAAGUUGUGCUCCAAAAAUCAAACUAUUGUAUCGAUGACUGCGGCUAGGGGAACAUUAGGAUACAUGGCAC
This 23328-nucleotide long non-coding RNA is filed under the name Medicago truncatula (barrel medic). Its description in RNAcentral is "long non-coding RNA (MTRU_LNC000058)". The stretch from base 12894 to 13000 matches the Rfam family "Plant small nucleolar RNA R71". Lineage: Eukaryota; Viridiplantae; Streptophyta; Magnoliopsida; Fabales; Fabaceae. The record is from RNAcentral.